RNAcentral lists this small nuclear RNA (23 nucleotides) under Arabidopsis thaliana (thale cress). RNAcentral's name for it is "snRNA_12543". Lineage: Eukaryota; Viridiplantae; Streptophyta; Magnoliopsida; Brassicales; Brassicaceae. The record is from RNAcentral.
UUAUUAAGACCAUCUCCAUCACU